GCAGCUGUCACUGUGAUAAGAGAAUUCCUUCCGGCUCCUCGCUGUCGCCAGGGCUGAUGGACCAUCUCCAGAAGCAUCUCCGGGCUUACCAAAGCUGCCCAGGCUACAUCAGGUUUCAACUACCCUGGAGGAGUGUCUGUGGCGGCAAGCAAGACGACUGGGUUCAGGAGUUGCUGCGAUGCUUCAGGCUGCAGGAAUGUGGACAUGCUCACAGGAAGGACCUGGCACAGUACCAGCAUUUCC
Ochotona curzoniae (black-lipped pika) is the source of this 243-nucleotide long non-coding RNA. RefSeq lists it as uncharacterized. The transcript is spliced from 3 exons. The record is from RefSeq and is a predicted model, not a curated record. Lineage: Eukaryota; Metazoa; Chordata; Mammalia; Lagomorpha; Ochotonidae.